Molecule: long non-coding RNA, 1723 nt
Organism: Phacochoerus africanus (Common warthog)
Lineage: Eukaryota; Metazoa; Chordata; Mammalia; Artiodactyla; Suidae
Exons: 3
Source: RefSeq, a predicted model, not a curated record
GCUCCGGGCUCGCUGGAGCCUCCUGCCCCGGGAAAUGCGCCCACCCCAGCGUCCUUUUCCCAGUGGGGAAGCUCUCCCGGCUUGAGGGAGAGGGAAGGAAUUGGCCUAAACCCCCUUGAAGGGGCCACGUUUAAAAGAUCCGGGCCCUAACUCUUGCCUGACCGCUCUUCUCUGCCAUCGGCCAGGCUAAACAGCCUGGGCAGACCACAACCGGGAGUGGGGCAUCCCAGGGCCAAGACUUUGACGCAAAGUAGACAUUAGUGUGACCUCAGACAUAUUCUCUCGGCCUCUUGUUACGCAAAAAUGGAGAGAGGCCGUUUUGAGGACAAGAUCACUUCACUUCAGAGAGAGAACCUUGUCCCCAAGACUCCCAGACCAGAUGACUGGCAGCCAGUCUGUCCUGCACAAAGGGACACUGCCCUGGAUGCAUCAGGAAGCUUGUGGCAGCAUCCUGAGGAAGGCUCAGCACACAAGCUCUUCCCAUCUGGGAUGGUGGAUGGUUGGCACUGGACUGUUGGACCGCUCUUAAAACACUCUUGGUGAGCUGGCCUCAAGCGGGGCGCUGAAGGCCCAGGGUGGAUGACACACUCCUGCCCCGACUCGGGCUGGCCUGGGAAGGAGGUGGAAGGCUUCCCUAAUGAGAUUCCCAGCCCUGCUCAGUCAACCAGAGGUGGUGAAAUUAGCCAAGGGCCAGAGACCUUGCUCUGGCUAGAGCAGAAUCCUAAGAGUCCUCUUGCAAGAAGACCUGUUUGAUCUAGAACAAGACCUCAGGUGUGCCAGGUUCUGUGCGAGGGACCAGGAAUUGAAAUGAGUCAGAAUUAUUUCUGUUGUGGCAAUAACCUUCCGUAGAAGAUCAAGGUGUGGAAGCACAUAAAGACAGUAACAUGUUAGAAGUAUUCAAAUAAAGAAAUGAACACGGAGUCAAAAGAAAGACGGUCCUAGCUCUGCCCAGAGCGGGAAGAGAAGGCAGGGACUACUUCCCAGAGGGGCUGGUGCUGGGAACGGCUCCCUGCUGUCAUCGGUCACUCUCUGAGACAGUCACCACAGCCUCGUGAGGGGUGUCCCAACUCCAACACAUACCCCAGGGAUAAGAGAAAGUUCUGAUGGAGUGUGCGAGAGGGGGCCCACCACCCAGGCCUGGAGUUCUUCAGCAAGAGUGGAGAAUAGCCAUUCUGAUGGAAAGAGACAGCCUGCCCUCUGCAAGAUGUCAGCAGGGACCCUCAACCAAUUAGCAUUAAACACAUUCAUUGACCGAACACCAGCAUUAUAAAGGAAGGACUGCUGCUGAAUGACACUCCUGAAUUCUGACCCCUACCCUUGGCCAGUGACCCUGAGAAUGAAGAUGCUCCUAGCUUUUGCGUCUUCUAUUCCUUCUGCCUCGACCACCUAGACAAAGACUCCUCCAGGAAACCCUCCUGAUAACCCACCAGUUGUGGACACUCAUAGCACUGUCUGCUUCAUUCAUCCAUUCCACUGAAGCUCACUGGGCACUUACCACCCAGCAAACAUGAGGGACACAGCAGUGAACAGACACGACAUCCUGCUCCCAAGGGGCUUACAUUCUAAAGGAGGGAAAGAACAAUAAGCACAUAAACAAGGGAAAUACAGAAUGUGUUAAAUUGUGGAGAGUUAGUGGAAGCUGUCCAUCCCAGUGGGGAAGGGUAUCGUAUAACACUGUUUAGAAUUGUCAAUGCACAGGGCUAAUAAAAAACAGACAGACUUA